This 812-nucleotide ribosomal RNA is filed under the name Bacillus sp. (in: firmicutes). RNAcentral's name for it is "bacterial SSU rRNA". It matches the Rfam family "Bacterial small subunit ribosomal RNA", at positions 60 to 855 of the family's 1533-position model. The record is from RNAcentral. Lineage: Bacteria; Bacillati; Bacillota; Bacilli; Caryophanales; Bacillaceae.
AGUCGAGCGGACAGAAGGGAGCUUGCUCCCGGAUGUUAGCGGCGGACGGGUGAGUAACACGUGGGUAACCUGCCUGUAAGACUGGGAUAACUCCGGGAAACCGGAGCUAAUACCGGAUAGUUCCUUGAACCGCAGGUUCAAGGAUGAAAGACGGUUUCGGCUGUCACUUACAGAUGGACCCGCGGCGCAUUAGCUAGUUGGUGGGGUAAUGGCUCACCAAGGCGACGAUGCGUAGCCGACCUGAGAGGGUGAUCGGCCACACUGGGACUGAGACACGGCCCAGACUCCUACGGGAGGCAGCAGUAGGGAAUCUUCCGCAAUGGACGAAAGUCUGACGGAGCAACGCCGCGUGAGUGAUGAAGGUUUUCGGAUCGUAAAGCUCUGUUGUUAGGGAAGAACAAGUGCGAGAGUAACUGCUCGCACCUUGACGGUACCUAACCAGAAAGCCACGGCUAACUACGUGCCAGCAGCCGCGGUAAUACGUAGGUGGCAAGCGUUGUCCGGAAUUAUUGGGCGUAAAGGGCUCGCAGGCGGUUUCUUAAGUCUGAUGUGAAAGCCCCCGGCUCAACCGGGGAGGGUCAUUGGAAACUGGGAAACUUGAGUGCAGAAGAGGAGAGUGGAAUUCCACGUGUAGCGGUGAAAUGCGUAGAGAUGUGGAGGAACACCAGUGGCGAAGGCGACUCUCUGGUCUGUAACUGACGCUGAGGAGCGAAAGCGUGGGGAGCGAACAGGAUUAGAUACCCUGGUAGUCCACGCCGUAAACGAUGAGUGCUAAGUGUUAGGGGGUUUCCGCCCCUUAGUGCUGCAGCUAA